This 698-nucleotide ribosomal RNA is filed under the name uncultured Spiroplasma sp. RNAcentral's name for it is "bacterial SSU rRNA". It matches the Rfam family "Bacterial small subunit ribosomal RNA", at positions 9 to 706 of the family's 1533-position model. Lineage: Bacteria; Bacillati; Mycoplasmatota; Mollicutes; Entomoplasmatales; Spiroplasmataceae. The record is from RNAcentral.
GAGUUUGAUCAUGGCUCAGGAUUAACGCUGGCGGCAUGCCUAAUACAUGCAAGUCGAACGGAGUAGCAAUACUUAGUGGCGAACGGGUGAGUAACACGUAUCUAAUCUACCAUUUAGUGGGGAAUAACUGUUGGAAACGACAGCUAAUACCGCAUAAUAUUGCUGGAUAAUUUCCAGUAAUGAAAGGAGCUUUCAAGCUCCGCUGAUUGAUGAGGAUGCGGCGCAUUAGCUAGUUGGUAGGGUAAUGGCCUACCAAGGCAAUGAUGCGUAGCCGAUCUGAGAGGAUGAACGGCCACAUUGGGACUGAGACACGGCCCAAACUUCUACGGAAGGCAGCAGUAGGGAAUUUUUCACAAUGGGCGAAAGCCUGAUGGAGCAAUGCCGCGUGACUGAUGAAGGUCUUCGGAUUGUAAAGGUCUGUUGUAAGGGAAGAAAUGGUAAAACAGGAAAUGGUUUUAUCUAUGACGGUACCUUACCAGAAAGCCACGGCUAACUAUGUGCCAGCAGCCGCGGUAAUACAUAGGUGGCAAGCGUUAUCCGGAUUUAUUGGGCGUAAAGGGUGCGUAGACGGUUUUGCAAGUCUGAGGUUAAAUUUAGGAGCUCAACUCCUAAUCGCCUUGGAAACUACAAGACUAGAGUAUAGGAGAGGUUAGUGGAAUUCCAUGUGUAGCGGUGGAAUGUGUAGAUAUAUGGAGGAC